Molecule: RNA transcript, 2935 nt
Organism: Ornithorhynchus anatinus (platypus)
Lineage: Eukaryota; Metazoa; Chordata; Mammalia; Monotremata; Ornithorhynchidae
Gene: TMPRSS6
Gene name: transmembrane serine protease 6
Exons: 20
Source: RefSeq, a predicted model, not a curated record
CCUUGAGCCUGAGCAAACAGACAGCUCUCCCUCUGCUCCUGACUGUGCCUGGGCCUCAGUCCCACCUGGAGGUUUCAAAGGGACACGCCUUCCUCUCGGGGUGGACUCGUCCCGCUUCUUGUGCAUCCAUGAACUGAAGGGGUGUCGGAGCUGGGGUCUCCUCCUCCCUACCUCCCCCUGCCCUUGCCCGAGGGGGAAGCACCUGCUGGGACUCCUGGCCAGGAAGUGGCUGGGGACGAGCGGAAGAGAGAGAGAUGCCCGAGGAGGCCGAGGGCGAGGAGCAGGCUGGAGAAGGGCCAGAGGCGGGACGUGAGCAGGCGGACGGAGAUUGGGCGGAGAGGGGGCAAACGGAUGGGCCCGGUGUAAAGGGGAUCCUGGGGCUCUCCGGGAAGACCACAGCCUUGCGUAGCGACAACCCCCAGAGGAAGAGGGACUACCUGUGCCUGGCUCCGCUCUGGCUGGCCCUGGUGACCCUGGCUGCUGCCGGAGUUCUGAUCUGGUAUUUCCUAGGCUUCAAGGAGGAGGGGACCAGCAGCCGGCUGUACUCGGGCAGUGUCGCCGUGCUCGAUCGCCAGUUCUUCCCAGACCUCGCCAACCACGAGUCCGGUGCCUUUCGCAGCGAAAUAGCCAAAGCCCAGAUCAUGCUGAAAGAACUCAUCUCCGCCACUCGCCUCUCCGCAUAUUACAACUCCAGCACGGUGUACUCCUUCGGGGCAAAGCCUCUGACCUGCUUCUUCUGGUUCAUCCUACAAGUCCCCAACAGCAAAGUCCAGAAGAUGAGCCCAGACUGGGUAAAGGAGGUGCUGGUGGAUGAGCUGAAGGCACGGGCCAAUGCUUCGGACGCCCUGCCCCAGGAUGACCAGUAUGAGAUGGAUCCCGGCACUCUGACACUCCUGGAGGCCAGCUUGAGAGACAUAAUUGUGCUGAAUUCCACGCUGGGCUGCUACCGGUACAGCUACGUCGAGGAAGGUGAGAUCCGCCACCUCAAAGGCCCCGACUACCUGUCCUCCAGCUGCUUGUGGCAUCUCCAGGGCCCCCGGGACCACAUGAUCAAGCUCCACCUGGAGUGGACCCUGCCCGAGUGCCGAGACCGCCUGGUCAUGUACGACGUGCCCGGACCCCAGGAAAGCCGCCUCAUCGCCUUACUAUACGGGUGCAGCCGUGUGGAGCCGGCGCUGGACGUUCUCUCCUCAGGGCCGGUCAUGUCGGUGGUUUGGAAGAAGGGACUUUACAGCUACGACGACCCUUUCACCUUGGCGGCUCAAGCGGUGCCCUUCCAGGUGUGUGCCAUGAACCUGACGCUGGAAGAGAGUCUGGAGCUUCAGGGACCCAUCAGGACCCCCUACUACCCCAGCUACUACUCUCCCAGCACGCACUGCACUUGGCAUCUGAAGGUCCCAUCCCCCGAUUACGGCGUGGCCCUGUGGUUUGACUCCUACGCGCUCCAGAGAGGGAAGAAGAGCGGACUGUGCACGCAGGGGCAGUGGACGAUACAGAACCGAAGGAUGUGUGGCCAGCGGAUCCUGAAUGCCUACGCCGAGAGGAUCCCCGUCGUCACGGCCGCCGGCCUCACCAUCAACUUCACUUCCCAGAUCUCGCUCACGGGCCCCGGACUGCAGGCGCACUACAGCCUGUACAACACAUCGGACCCCUGCCCUGGGGCAUUCCUCUGCCCCCUGAACGGCCUCUGUGUCCCAGGCUGUGACGGGAUCAAGGACUGCGGCUCAGGGAUGGAUGAGAGGAACUGUGUCUGCCCGGCCAAGUUCCAGUGCCCAGAGGACAGUGCCUGCAUCGCUCUCCCCAAAGUCUGCGACCGGCACUUGGACUGCGUCGACGGGAGUGAUGAGCAGCAUUGCAACCACACGGUGCCCUGUGGGGCUUUCACGUUUAAGUGUGCCGACGGCAGUUGUGUGAAGAAGCCCAAUCCUCAGUGCGAUGAUUUGCCCGACUGCCCGGACCAAUCCGAUGAACUGCACUGCGACUGCGGCCUGCAGGCACCCACCAAUCGCAUCCUGGGUGGCUUCAACUCGGUGGAAGGAGAGUGGCCGUGGCAGGCCAGCCUGCAGGCGCAGGGCCGCCACAUCUGCGGCGGGAGCCUCAUCGCCGACCGCUGGGUGCUGUCCGCCGCCCACUGCUUCCAGAAGGACAGCCUGGCUCUCCCGGCUGUCUGGACCGUGUACUUGGGCAAGCUCCAGCAGAAUUCCAGCCGGGCCAGCGAGGUAUCCUUCAAGGUGAGCCGCCUGCUGCUGCACCCCUACUACGAGGAGGACACCCACGACUACGACGUGGCCCUGCUCCAGCUCGACCACCCCGUGGUGCGCUCGCCCGUGGUGCGGCCCCUCUGCCUGCCCGCCCCCACCCACUUCUUUGAGCCCGGCCUCAAGUGCUGGGUCACCGGCUGGGGGGCGCUCCGGGAAGGAGGAACCAGGAAGACAGUGCAUGAGAGAGACGGAGAGACAGAGAUGGAGGCAGGCGCGGAGACCAGAGAUAAAGACCCAGAGCGAGACAGAGGGGCACGGAGAGAUGGGGGAGCGAAAAAGACAGGGCUCCUUCAGCAACACCCUGCAGAAGGUGGACGUGCAGAUCGUGCACCAGGACCUGUGUGACGAGGCCUAUCGCUUCAGCAUCACGCCCCGCAUGAUGUGCGCCGGCUACCGGAAGGGAAAGAAGGAUUCUUGCCAGGGAGAUUCGGGGAGCCCCCUCGUCUGCAAAGAGCCCAGUGGCAGGUGGUUCCUGGCCGGCCUGGUCAGCUGGGGCCUGGGCUGCGGUCGUCCCAAUUAUUUUGGGGUCUACACCAGGAUCUCACGCGUGCUGGACUGGAUCAAACAGGAGAUGUCCUGAACAGCAGGAUCCUGCCCGUCCUCCACCGUCCCCACGGUUCCUGCUGUUCCACCCCAGAGCCAGCUGCAAGGGGAAUAAACCUGCCGCAGUAGCC